Molecule: ribosomal RNA, 238 nt
Filed under: uncultured bacterium
Lineage: Bacteria
Description: partial 16S ribosomal RNA
Rfam family: Bacterial small subunit ribosomal RNA
Source: RNAcentral
AUCUCUGGCUCAGGAUGAACGCUGGCGGCGUGCCUAACACAUGCAAGUCGAGCGAAGCGGUUUUAAGGAAGUUUUCGGAUGGAAUUAAAACUGACUGAGCGGCGGACGGGUGAGUAACGCGUGGGUAACCUGCCUCAUACAGGGGGAUAACAGUUAGAAAUGGCUGCUAAUACCGCAUAAGCACACAGCUUCGCAUGGAGCAGUGUGAAAAACUCCGGUGGUAUGAGAUGGACCCGCG